GACCUCGGAUCAGGUAGGAAUACCCGCUGAACUUAAGCAUAUCAAUAAGCGGAGGAAAAGA
This 61-nucleotide ribosomal RNA is filed under the name Phomopsis sp. MA194. Its description in RNAcentral is "partial 28S ribosomal RNA". It matches the Rfam family "Eukaryotic large subunit ribosomal RNA", at positions 1 to 62 of the family's 3401-position model. Lineage: Eukaryota; Fungi; Ascomycota; Sordariomycetes; Diaporthales; Diaporthaceae. The record is from RNAcentral.